RNAcentral lists this ribosomal RNA (274 nucleotides) under uncultured bacterium. Its description in RNAcentral is "partial 16S ribosomal RNA". It matches the Rfam family "Bacterial small subunit ribosomal RNA", at positions 523 to 796 of the family's 1533-position model. The record is from RNAcentral.
AUACGGAGGGUGCGAGCGUUAUCCGGAUUUAUUAGGUUUAAAGGGUGUGUAGGCGGGAGCCUAAGUCAGUGGUGAAAUCUCACAGCUUAACUGUGAAACUGCCAUUGAAACUGGGUCUCUUGAGUAUAGUUGAGGUAGGCGGAAUGUGUAAUGUAGCGGUGAAAUGCAUAGAUAUUACACAGAACACCGAUUGCGAAGGCAGCUUACUAAGCUAUUACUGACGCUGAUGCACGAAAGCGUGGGUAGCGAACAGGAUUAGAAACCCCAGUAGCCC